GGGAGAGGGGGGGAUAAGCUUAUACAUGCCUGCCUCAAAUUCACGAUCCCAAUACAAACUUUAUAAAUCACAGUGAUUAAACGAUGAAUUCAUCAGCUCAAAUAAUUCGCACCAAUAUUGAAAAAUGAAGACCCUAAAAACUGAAAGCCAAGAAUCUCAACCAAGGUAAAAGCAAACAUAAUUUCACCCAAGAACUUAAUUCCUAAUUACCACCACAAACACAAAACCUUAGAUCCAGAAAAGGGUACUUCCAUAUCCGCCAAAUGCAGCGAUCAAACACCCGAUGCCUAAAUAAAUUUACCAAUCAAAACUAGGGUUUCCCCUCAUCCAACACCACAAAACAACCUACUCUAGCGAACACAAAAUUCGAAUAUCAAACUAUAAAUUAAAGCAAAAUGAAAAGAUCCCAGUGCACAAGAAACUCACCCGUCAAGAAACGCGGCGAGAAA
This 449-nucleotide unclassified non-coding RNA is filed under the name Hevea brasiliensis (rubber tree). Lineage: Eukaryota; Viridiplantae; Streptophyta; Magnoliopsida; Malpighiales; Euphorbiaceae. The record is from RNAcentral.